GUGGGGAAUAUUGCACAAUGGGCGAAAGCCUGAUGUAGCGACGCCGCGUGAGGGAAGAAGGUUUUCGGAUUGUAAACCUCUGUCCCAGGGGACGAACAAAUGACGGUACCCUGGGAGGAAGCUACGGCUAACUACGUGCCAGCAGCCGCGGUAAAACGUAGGUGGCAAGCGUUGUCCGGAAUUACUGGGUGUAAAGGGAGCGCAGGUGGGCUGGCAAGUCGAAUGUGAAAUCUACGGGCUCAACUCGUAAAUUGCGUUCGAUACCGCUGGUCUUGAGUGGUGUAGAGGUAGGUGGAAUUCCCGGUGUAGCGGUGGAAUGCGUAGAUAUCGGGAGGAACACCAGUGGCGAAGGCGACCUACUGGGCACUAACUGACACUGAUGCACGAAAGCGUGGGUAUCAAACAGGAUUAGAAACCCUGGUAGC
RNAcentral lists this ribosomal RNA (425 nucleotides) under uncultured bacterium. RNAcentral's name for it is "partial 16S ribosomal RNA". It matches the Rfam family "Bacterial small subunit ribosomal RNA", at positions 354 to 794 of the family's 1533-position model. The record is from RNAcentral.